Non-coding RNA from Camelina sativa (false flax), 993 nucleotides. The record is from RefSeq and is a predicted model, not a curated record. Lineage: Eukaryota; Viridiplantae; Streptophyta; Magnoliopsida; Brassicales; Brassicaceae.
GUAUUUUGUACUGGGGCAAAAACAAAAUCAGCCGAACUGAAAUAUGAAAUCACGUAAAAGUCAUUUCUCUCUUUCUUCUCUCCUUCUUCUCUUUUCAUUCAUCGUUUCCACCGCCAGUACCACCUUCCUCCAUUGAAUCAACCGAUCAUGUUUUCUUCAUCCAAUUUUGUAGUCUAUACUCAACAAUUCCAUGACUCUGCCUCCGAAUUUGUCUCAUCAUCACCAAUGAUGAAAACUUCGUCACUAAGUUCAUAAGCGACCAGAAUCACUUGGAUUGGGAGUAGUAUGGUUGCUUGAUUAAAAUGCUAGCCUUGAAGGUGUGUGAUCUUCCUCAAGGUAGUUCAUUGCAAGUUGAUAUUCUUUAUUUAUUUUUUUCCAUCUGAAACCGUAGAUUUAACUUUGUUAGAAUUCAUGAACCUUUUCAUCUCCCAUUUUCUUUUUCUUUCGGGGAUUUUUAUCUUUAGAGCCCAUUGGCCUCCCCCUUUUCAAUUGAACCUUAGGUUCAUUAGCUUUGCUUCCAUCAAGUUCCUCUCUAGGAAUUUCAACUCUUGCUGGUGCAUUUGCAGCGGGGAUAUAUGACUUUGUCACCCUUUUUGUAUCUGUGAACGCAUCUGGUAAUUGAUUUGCCAAACCUUGUAAAUGUACAAUUUUCUGAACUUCCAGUUCACGUUGAUUUGUAGGGGGAUCAAUGUAUAUCAAAGAUGGUGUAUACCAUGUAAUAUCUUUUGGUACUUGUUUAAUUCCUCCCCCUAACGCUGGAAAUUCAUCUUCAUUAAAAUGGCAAUCGGCAAAACGUGCCGUAAACAUAUCACCAGUUUGCGGUUCAAGAUAUCGAAUUAUACUCGGGGAUGCAUAACCGACGUAUAUACCCAAUCUCUGUUAUGGCCCCAUUUUUGUUCUUUGUGGUGGGGCUUUAGGCACAUAAACCGCACAUCCAAAAAUACGGAGAUAAGAUAUGUUUGGCUCUUGGCCAGAUGCCAAUUGUAAAGGGGA